This 86-nucleotide microRNA precursor is filed under the name Dendroctonus ponderosae (mountain pine beetle). Its description in RNAcentral is "mir-276 microRNA precursor family". It matches the Rfam family "mir-276 microRNA precursor family". The record is from Rfam by way of RNAcentral. Lineage: Eukaryota; Metazoa; Arthropoda; Insecta; Coleoptera; Curculionidae.
UUUACGAUAGACCACUAGCGAGGUAUAGAGUUCCUACGUGAUUUUAUAUUGUAGGAACUUCAUACCGUGCUCUUGGAUUUGUCGAU